Molecule: ribosomal RNA, 253 nt
Filed under: uncultured bacterium
Lineage: Bacteria
Description: partial 16S ribosomal RNA
Rfam family: Bacterial small subunit ribosomal RNA
Source: RNAcentral
UACGUAGGGGGCAAGCGUUGUCCGGAAUCAUUGGGCGUAAAGCGCGUGUAGGCGGCUCGGUAAGUCUGCUCUGAAAGCCCGGGGCUCAACCCUGGGAGGCGGGUGGAUACUGCUGAGCUCGAGUCCGGAAGAGGCGAGUGGAAUUCCUGGUGGAGCGGUGAAAUGCGCAGAUAUCAGGAGGAACACCAAUGGCGAAGGCAGGUCUCUGGGCCACUACUGACGCUGAGAAGCGAAAGCAUGGGGAGCGAACAGG